GUGAAGCUGGAAUCGCUAGUAAUCGCGGAUCAGAAUGCCGCGGUGAAUACGUUCCCGGGUCUUGUACACACCGCCCGUCACACCAUGGGAGCCGGAAACGCCCGAAGCCAGCGGCCCAACCGCGAGGAGGGAGCUGUCGAAGGCGGGUCCGGUGACCGGGGUGAAGUCGUAACAAGGUAUC
RNAcentral lists this ribosomal RNA (181 nucleotides) under uncultured bacterium. Its description in RNAcentral is "partial 16S ribosomal RNA". It matches the Rfam family "Bacterial small subunit ribosomal RNA", at positions 1320 to 1500 of the family's 1533-position model. The record is from RNAcentral.